This 135-nucleotide small nuclear RNA is filed under the name Pogona vitticeps (central bearded dragon). RNAcentral's name for it is "U1 spliceosomal RNA (ENSPVIG00000024770.1)". It matches the Rfam family "U1 spliceosomal RNA". From Rfam's summary of the family: U1 is a small nuclear RNA (snRNA) component of the spliceosome (involved in pre-mRNA splicing). Its 5' end forms complementary base pairs with the 5' splice junction, thus defining the 5' donor site of an intron. Lineage: Eukaryota; Metazoa; Chordata; Lepidosauria; Squamata; Agamidae. The record is from RNAcentral.
ACUCAGACCUGGCAGGGGAGAUGUUUUCCCAGGGUAAGGCUCAUCUAUUGCAGUUCAGAUGAGCUGACCCCUGUGAUUUCCCCAAAUGUGGGAAAGUCAACCGCCUAAGUGGGAGACUGUGUUUGUGGUUUCCCU